GGUCUGUGGGUCUGUGGGUGUUUGGGUGUUUGGGUGUGUGUGUCCAUACAGAAAAAAAACAACAGCUAACUA
Pangasianodon gigas (Mekong giant catfish) is the source of this 72-nucleotide non-coding RNA. Lineage: Eukaryota; Metazoa; Chordata; Actinopteri; Siluriformes; Pangasiidae. The record is from the annotation of a GenBank genome assembly.